UGUCGAUGAGAUAGCACAGCUAGUCGACUUGUAGCUAGCCAACGCAGUGGUUGUGAAAACCGAAACGGAUAUAUGUUUAAAUCCUACUAUAAGUUUGCUGACACUUUCAGCGUUAAGCUUAAAGUACAGUUUAAAAAGACGUUCUAAAAGUUGACUCAUAUAAGAAACUACUUCAAAUGUAUAUGACAGUCUUAGUCAUCUGCAUCAGCUGGUUGAAGAGGACUGUGAUGUAAAGAGACUAUAAAGCCUGUGACGGGACUUUUGUCAACAAACCACAAGAAGUGAUACUUUUUCCCAAAGGCACUUUUUUGUAUGUUCCGAUGUUGAGAUUUCAUAAUUCACGACAGACCGCUUAACAUAUGAUUACUUUAUCAGAACAUGUGAUUAAACACGUAACUCUGGGUGAAUAUCAACGACCUCAACGAACAUGUCUUUAUCCGCAGGAUGGUCAAGUGCUUCGUUUUCCUGUCACGUGCAAGAUGGAUAUGAUUUAGUAACUUUGAUUGCAUAAAGACGCAGUUCGCCAUCUACAGAUACUCUUUCUUAUAACGGCUACGGAUAUAAAUCGAAACAGACGCAGAAGGAUUUUGCAUUUGCUGUACAUCUGAAAACUUGUAUGUUUCAUCCCAGUUUUCACAAAUAUGAUUCCAGUUAUCCGCAGAGAAACACGAUCUGACAACAAAAGCAAAGUCACAUUGCGAUAUCUGCCGUGUCCACCGAGGAUAAUCGAUCCCCGGCUUUAAGUGUUUUAAGUCCGUAAACUGUCAACUGUCCCACCAGGGAAUUGGAGCUUAAGACUAUUUUUCAUCAAGUACAUCAAUGACCGAAAGCUGCUGGCUCUACUAUAGGCCUACCAUCAUGAGUAACUGAAGUGCUAACGAGCCCUGAUGAUAAGCUAAGAGUUAUAGGUUAAUUCUAAAUCAACGCAGCGGUUUCUCUCUUACCGAGUAAAUUAAUUUGGUCUCCGGGAGUUCAGGCCACUUGGGGAUCUGAAAGUAGGAAGCAAGCGGAAUGGUGACUCAGUACCGGCGAACGGUGGGGGCAACCUCGAAACACUAUAUGUGGACACCGAAAGCAAAGGGACAGAGAGCAAGCACGUGUCAUUUCAGUUACACACGGUACACGAUGAUGAUGAGAGGGUGAAGUGGAGUUCUAGAACAGAAUGUUCCAAAACAAGACAGUGGUUUAGUGGUCGACAAAUGAGGGCCUCAGUAGGUUUAUUAAUACAUCAUCUAUGAACUACACCUUCUACAAACAGUGUGGGCCAAGAAGAAUAGUCAUCUGCUACUAAACAAGAGCUGUCUUAAGGAGGAUCAGCUGAAGAAGAUGACUGCCACAAUAUCCAUUUGUUCUCAGUGACACAGCCUUCUGGUGUCUGCUUACCUGAUCUCCAUAAAAUGCCGAAAGAGUUACGUUACGGGUACUUCUGGCACAUCCUGCAGUACUAAGUUACAGUACCUGCCACUGAGGGUAUUCCCUUGUCUGGUUGUUGGACUGUAAUGUCGGUCUAGUAUUCCAAGUCAGUUCUCGCUAGAAAGACACCAAAGAAUAACUGAUGCUGUUGUAUUUACACGAUCACAACGAGGCAAAUCUGUUUGUCGUGUUUUCUUUCAAAGAUAUACUCGGCAGUUCCUGUUAACUCGAAUGAUAUCGUGGUAAACAAGUUUGUUGAGGGUCUGACCAGUGAGAUAUUCCAUCUUUAAUCAAGGUUAUGUCAUAGGCUAUCCAAUACGAGGUGGUAAUACAAGAUCCAUAGGUUGUAAGGAAAAAGACCUAUUACACUGCAGAAGUCGAAACACCUAGACCAACAUCUAUUCUUAACCUUCUACCAAAUGCUGCAGAAGAUAGACACAGAUCUGGACUAUUGUUGUAACGUGAGUUUCAACUGUCCAGAAGUGGGAUCCAUAUUAUGGCCAAAUUAUUACUUUAAAUGGAAGGAUAAAUCAGCAAUUUGCCCCAAAGAGUACUGAAAAACAGUUUUCCCCAGCCAAAUCUUUCCCAAACAAUAAUGAUACACUGUUAAUUGCCAAAGUAAAUUUUACUUCAACUACAACUGGUCUCGAAACUAGGUCUGAUGCUAAAUAAAUGUUAUGAAAAGGAACAUCAACAAAGCCACCCUCAAUACCCUGAGCA
Long non-coding RNA from Limulus polyphemus (Atlantic horseshoe crab), 2133 nucleotides. RefSeq lists it as uncharacterized. The record is from RefSeq and is a predicted model, not a curated record. The transcript has 6 exons. Lineage: Eukaryota; Metazoa; Arthropoda; Merostomata; Xiphosura; Limulidae.